Molecule: long non-coding RNA, 938 nt
Organism: Drosophila pseudoobscura
Lineage: Eukaryota; Metazoa; Arthropoda; Insecta; Diptera; Drosophilidae
Exons: 2
Source: RefSeq, a predicted model, not a curated record
CAUAUUAUCAUUUUAAACUAACUACCGCAUGUUUAACUUUGUCAUUCCAAGUAAUUUAACAAAGUCGUCGUGUUUUUUCUUGCUUAAACAUUUUGUUAGUAGAUCUGCAACAUUGCCGUUUGUCGAUACGUAUUCUAGUAUAAUUUCAUUACAUUCUACUUUUUCGCGAACAAAAUGAUACUUAAUAUCAAUGUGCUUCGUGCGUUUGUGAUGUACCGGAUUUUGAGCAAUAUGUUGCGAACUGAUGUUGUCGCCAUAGAUGGUUAAAGGCUCUGUAACAGUUGACCAACCAAUCUCGUCGAGAAGUCAUCGUAAAUAAAUAGCCUCUUUAGCAGCCAUAGAUAGUGCUAUGUAUUCAGCUUCAGUGCUGCUCAACGCGACAACACUUUGCUUAGUUGAAGUCCAAGAAAAAGCACUGCUGCUAGGAAGAAUGCGUAUCCACUAUAAGAUCUUCUAUCGAGCCUGUCAUUGGCCCAGUCAGCAUCAGCGAAACCUCUUACUGGUUCACCACACUUGCGCCGUCUCGUGUUCUGCAUGGGGAUCAGUAUUUCGUUGCGACAGUUUGCUUACUGCGUGCAAAAUGUCCGGUCGGCUCAAGACUGCUAAAUACAUAAGGGAACCAAUUAAUGACUGAUAUUGUGUUACAUUUACCUUGACACAAUUAUCAUCAAUGCAGCCAACUUGAUAGCCCGGGUCGAGCGGUGUGCUGACUGGACGGCACUUGCUCAUGCCAUACGUGUCCAAUAGUCCUUGAAUAUGCGAUUUCUGGCAAAACGAAAUCGAACCCUGUUCACCGUCUCGCUCAAUUUCCAUUCUUAGGAAAAAGUUUAUGGGGCCGCCAUCGUGCAUCUUGAAGUUUGAUGCGAUCUUCUUCUUAAUUACGGCUAUGUCAUUUUUGUUUGGACAUGCGAUAAUUAAAUCGUCGACGUAGACUGCAA